This 474-nucleotide ribosomal RNA is filed under the name uncultured bacterium. RNAcentral's name for it is "bacterial SSU rRNA". It matches the Rfam family "Bacterial small subunit ribosomal RNA", at positions 8 to 498 of the family's 1533-position model. The record is from RNAcentral.
AGAGUUUGAUUAUGGCUCAGAAUGAACGCUGGCGGCAUGCCUAAGACAUGCAAGUCGCACGAGAAAGUAAGCAAUAAUGAGUAAAGUGGCGCACGGGUGAGUAAUAUUUAGAUAACGUACCCUUCCGCUGGGGAUAACUAGGCGAAAGCUUAGCUAAUACCGAAUACACCGUCGGAGACUUCGGUCUCUGCCGGGAAAGCCGUAAGGCGCGGAUGGAGCGGUCUGAACCCCAUUAGCUAGUUGGUAGGGUAAAGGCCUACCAAGGCUUCGAUGGGUAGCUGGUCUGAGAGGACGACCAGCCACACUGGAACUGACACACGGUCCAGACUCCUACGGGAGGCAGCAGUUAGGAAUUUUGCGCAAUGGGGGAAACCCUGACGCAGCAAUGCCGCGUGAGUGACGAAGGCCUUCGGGUUGUAAAGCUCUUUUAGUUGGAAAGAAAAAAAUGACNGUACCNCAGAAAAAGCCCGNACC